This 517-nucleotide ribosomal RNA is filed under the name uncultured Glomeromycotina. RNAcentral describes it as "SSU rRNA". It matches the Rfam family "Eukaryotic small subunit ribosomal RNA", at positions 569 to 1089 of the family's 1831-position model. Lineage: Eukaryota; Fungi; Glomeromycota. The record is from RNAcentral.
AGCAGCCGCGGUAAUUCCAGCUCCAAUAGCGUAUAUUAAAGUUGUUGCAGUUAAAAAGCUCGUAGUUGAAUUUCGGGGUCAGCAGGUUGGUCGUGCCACUGGUAUGUACUGGCUUUGCUGAUUCCUCCUUCUUGUAGAACCGUAAUGCCAUUAAUUUGGUGUUGCGGGGAAACAGGACUGUUACUUUGAAAAAUUAGAGUGUUUAAAGCAGGCUAACGCUUGAAUACAUUAGCAUGGAAUAAUGAAAUAGGACGAGCGAUCCUAUUUUGUUGGUUUCUAGGAUUGACGUAAUGAUUAAUAGGGAUAGUUGGGGGCAUUAGUAUUCAAUUGUCAGAGGUGAAAUUCUUGGAUUUAUUGAAGACUAACUACUGCGAAAGCAUUUGCCAAGGAUGUUUUCAUUAAUCAAGAACGAAAGUUAGGGGAUCGAAGACGAUCAGAUACCGUCGUAGUCUUAACCAUAAACUAUGCCGACUAGGGAUCGGAUGAUGUUAAUUUAUAAUGACUCAUUCGGCUACCG